CUUUAUGGCGGCUGUGUGCGGGCAGACUUCGGUCUGGCCGGUUGCCUGCUCCGGUGGAUCUCACCCUGCACAUAGCUGCCACCUCU
This 86-nucleotide non-coding RNA is filed under the name Pseudomonas koreensis. Lineage: Bacteria; Pseudomonadati; Pseudomonadota; Gammaproteobacteria; Pseudomonadales; Pseudomonadaceae. The record is from RNAcentral.